ACUAUGCCUAGCCAUAACAUUGAUAGAAAAAUACACCCCCUAUCCGCCCGGGUACUACGAGCACUAGCUUGAAACCCAAAGGACUUGGCGGUACUUUAGAUCCCCCUAGAGGAGCCUGUUCUAUAACCGAUGACCCCCGUUCAACCUCACCCUCCCUUGUUUUUCCCGCCUAUAUACCGCCGUCGUCAGCUUACCCCAUGAGGGACCAAUAGUAAGCAAAACUGGCACCGCCCAGAACGUCAGGUCGAGGUGUAGCGUAUGAGAGGGGAAGAAAUGGGCUACAUUUGCUAACGUAGCAAAUACGAACGAUGCACUGAAAACGUUCAUCCGAAGGAGGAUUUAGCAGUAAGUGGGAAAUAGAGUGUCCCGCUGAAAUCGGCUCUGAAGUGCGU
RNAcentral lists this ribosomal RNA (392 nucleotides) under Ruvettus pretiosus (oilfish). RNAcentral describes it as "partial 12S ribosomal RNA". It matches the Rfam family "Bacterial small subunit ribosomal RNA", at positions 789 to 1384 of the family's 1533-position model. The record is from RNAcentral. Lineage: Eukaryota; Metazoa; Chordata; Actinopteri; Scombriformes; Gempylidae.